RNAcentral lists this ribosomal RNA (402 nucleotides) under uncultured bacterium. RNAcentral describes it as "bacterial SSU rRNA". It matches the Rfam family "Bacterial small subunit ribosomal RNA", at positions 355 to 774 of the family's 1533-position model. The record is from RNAcentral.
UGGGGAAUCUUGCACAAUGGGGGCAACCCUGAUGCAGCGACGCCGCGUGAGCGAUGAAGCCCUUCGGGGCGUAAAGCUCUUUCGACCGGAACGAUAAUGACGGUACCGGGAGAAGAAGCUGCGGCUAACUACGUGCCAGCAGCCGCGGUAAUACGUAGGCAGCAAGCGAUGUUCGGAGUUACUGGGCGUAAAGAGUGCGUAGGCGGUUUUCUAAGUUCGGUGUGAAAUCUCCCGGCUUAACUGGGAGGGUGCGCCGAAGACUGGGAAGCUGGAGUGUGGGAAAGGCAGGCGGAAUUCCUGGUGUAGCGGUGAAAUGCGUAGAUAUCAGGAGGAACACCGGCGGUGUAGACGGCUUGCUAGACCAUAACUGACGCUGAGGCACGAAAGCGUGGGUAGCAAACA